CWSRRGAACUUUCMGAGAUGSWUUGGUGCCUUCGGGAACUCUGAGACAGGUGCUGCAUGGCUGUCGUCAGCUCGUGUUGUGAAAUGUUGGGUUAAGUCCCGCAACGAGCGCAACCCUUAUCCUUUGUUGCCAGCGGUUAGGCCGGGAACUCAAAGGAGACUGCCAGUGAUAAACUGGAGGAAGGUGGGGAUGACGUCAAGUCAUCAUGGCCCUUACGAGUAGGGCUACACACGUGCUACAAUGGCGCAUACAAAGAGAAGCGACCUCGCGAGAGCAAGCGGACCUCAUAAAGUGCGUCGUAGUCCGGAUUGGAGUCUGCAACUCGACUCCAUGAAGUCGGAAUCGCUAGUAAUCGUAGAUCAGAAUGCUACGGUGAAUACGUUCCCGGGUCUUGUACACACCGA
This 404-nucleotide ribosomal RNA is filed under the name Enterobacter sp. 63(2012). Its description in RNAcentral is "bacterial SSU rRNA". It matches the Rfam family "Bacterial small subunit ribosomal RNA", at positions 989 to 1393 of the family's 1533-position model. Lineage: Bacteria; Pseudomonadati; Pseudomonadota; Gammaproteobacteria; Enterobacterales; Enterobacteriaceae. The record is from RNAcentral.